RNAcentral lists this ribosomal RNA (474 nucleotides) under uncultured organism. RNAcentral describes it as "partial 16S ribosomal RNA". It matches the Rfam family "Bacterial small subunit ribosomal RNA", at positions 333 to 798 of the family's 1533-position model. The record is from RNAcentral.
ACACUCCUACGGGAGGCAGCAGUGGGGAAUAUUGCACAAUGGGCGCAAGCCUGAUGCAGCCAUGCCGCGUGUAUGAAGAAGGCCUUCGGGUUGUAAAGUACUUUCAGCGGGGAGGAAGGCGAUAAGGUUAAUAACCUUGUUGAUUGACGUUACCCGCAGAAGAAGCACCGGCUAACUCCGUGCCAGCAGCCGCGGUAAUACGGAGGGUGCAAGCGUUAAUCGGAAUUACUGGGCGUAAAGCGCACGCAGGCGGUCUGUCAAGUCGGAUGUGAAAUCCCCGGGCUCAACCUGGGAACUGCAUUCGAAACUGGCAGGCUAGAGUCUUGUAGAGGGGGGUAGAAUUCCAGGUGUAGCGGUGAAAUGCGUAGAGAUCUGGAGGAAUACCGGUGGCGAAGGCGGCCCCCUGGACAAAGACUGACGCUCAGGUGCGAAAGCGUGGGGAGCAAACAGGAUUAGAAACCCUAGUAGUCCCAU